Molecule: ribosomal RNA, 255 nt
Filed under: uncultured bacterium
Lineage: Bacteria
Description: partial 16S ribosomal RNA
Rfam family: Bacterial small subunit ribosomal RNA
Source: RNAcentral
CACGUAGGGUGCGAGCGUUGUCCGGAAUUAUUGGGCGUAAAGAGCUCGUAGGCGGUGUGUCGCGUCGGCCGUGAAAACCUGCAGCUUAACUGUGGGCUUGCGGUCGAUACGGGCAUCACUGGAGUUCGGCAGGGGAGACUGGAAUUCCUGGUGUAGCGGUGAAAUGCGCAGAUAUCAGGAGGAACACCGGUGGCGAAGGCGGGUCUCUGGGCCGAUACUGACGCUGAGGAGCGAAAGCGUGGGGGAGCAAACAGG